This 800-nucleotide long non-coding RNA is filed under the name Calidris pugnax (ruff). Its description in RNAcentral is "lncRNA (ENSCPUG00000005076.1)". Lineage: Eukaryota; Metazoa; Chordata; Aves; Charadriiformes; Scolopacidae. The record is from RNAcentral.
GAGCAGCAAAAAGAGGCUUAUUCUCAGGGCAGAGAAGAUGCUUUGGUGCAGCUUGCUCUCCAGCGCGGUGAACAUUGAGUCUCUGAGACAGUUUUCCACCUUCCAGCGAUUUAUGGGCUUCCCGGAGACACGGUUCUGUCUAUCCAGGCACAAAAAUUUGUUCUCUGCUACCACACGUCGGGGCUUCGUCUGGCCACGGUUAAGGCUCAGGAUGCUGAGGGCUUGCUUUUCCAGCACUGAGCUUCUCCUCCCAUGUGCCCCAGAUGUUCAUUCCAGCUGCAGCCAGCCUGGGAACGCAGGGGAAUGAUUUACAGCCGGGAAAAGACGGUCCAGCUGAACACAGGCAAGCCAUGUCUUUUCUCCAUGGCAGAAGGGCACCAGAUCUUCCUGUUAUGUGUUCUUCUUGCCCCAAUGGUGGGGACAUCACAGCCCUCGAGGACAUCGCUGCCCUUGGGGCCAUCAUUGCCCAGCCCAGGAUGGUGUCUGGGCUGCUCCCCCGGGAAAAGGCAGGAACAGGUCAGGAACCAGCAGAACCGGCUGUGUGCUGGGUUCCUGUCUGUGCAGACACGGCAGUCCUACGGCUCUCGCUGGGGUCUCCCCUGUUUCCAGUGCUGUCGAGCAGCUCUCAGAUCUGUGAUAAUUUAAUUAACCUGCCCUGUUCUGCCGCGGCUGUCGGAGCAGGGGAAAAGGAUCCAGGCACCCGGGGAGUUCCUUCUUUGCCUGAGCACAUACGUCUCCUACGCAAAAGUCACAGAAGAGCAAUUUCCCCACCAGGAAAGCUCAUUGUGGGUUUUUUUUAA